This is an RNA transcript of Fragaria vesca subsp. vesca, 666 nucleotides long. RefSeq lists it as uncharacterized. NCBI's taxonomy places the organism in Eukaryota, Viridiplantae, Streptophyta, Magnoliopsida, Rosales, Rosaceae. The record is from RefSeq and is a predicted model, not a curated record. The transcript is spliced from 3 exons.
GAGACUUGUGAAUUUAAACUAGGCACUGUCAUAGACUCCGGCACUCCGCAAUCGUGAGACUCUCUCUUCAAAAUCACGCAGCGUCGCUCGAAUAGUGUUGCAGACUCUCACAGCAUAGAAACGGGGAUGAUUACAGCAGUGCUGGCACCAGUGUUGUUGACAGGCGUUAAGUUUAGUUCCCACCAUGGACAGCCACUGACAACGAAGCUGGCAUCAUGGUCUACAUAUGUUGUUUUUCCUGCAGCCAUGGCCGCCGCCUGCGUCUAUUCUCCUCCUGGUUCCAAGGAGUCCACCAAAUAAGGCGUUGCUUGGGGCACAUGGCAUGGAAGUGGAAGUCUGCUCUUUGGUUGAAUAAUAAUAGUGUCUUCUCUGAAGAACAUUGACCAGAACAUCUUUGAAUGUAUUUUAUUCAUUCAUGAGUUCCCCUCUUGGUCACUUCUUUCGAAUGUACUGUACGGAACAAUAGUUGUCAGAUUAUCCUCAUUUGCAAGACUUGGUUUGGUUGAAUUGAGUGCAUCAAUCUUCGAAUGGUUGUGGAUGGAAGCAGUGCUUCAACUGGAUUUUGUUGCGACUGUAUCUUCUCAGGAGUGAAGUUAUGCUUGAGAAGCAGAGGUUUCUGAACAUGACUCUAGUAUUCCUUAUUUUGAACUAGAAAUCUACUAAGAG